UACGUAGGGCGCAAGCGUUGUCCGGAAUUAUUGGGCGUAAAGGGCUCGUAGGCGGUUUGUCGCGUCGGGCGUGAAAACCUACAGCUUAACUGUGGGCUUGCUUUCGAUACGGGCAGACUUGAGGCAUGCAGGGGAGAACGGAAUUCCUGGUGUAGCAGUGAAAUGCGCAGAUAUCAGGAGGAACACCGGUGGCGAAGGCGGUUCUCUGGGCAUGUUCUGACGCUGAGGAGCGAAAGUGUGGGGAGCGAACAGG
This 253-nucleotide ribosomal RNA is filed under the name uncultured bacterium. RNAcentral's name for it is "partial 16S ribosomal RNA". It matches the Rfam family "Bacterial small subunit ribosomal RNA", at positions 524 to 776 of the family's 1533-position model. The record is from RNAcentral.